GACGAACGCUGGCGGCGUGCCUAAUACAUGCAAGUAGAACGCUGAAGGAGGAGCUUGCUCUUCUGGAUGAGUUGCGAACGGGUGAGUAACGCGUAGGUAACCUGCCUGGUAGCGGGGGAUAACUAUUGGAAACGAUAGCUAAUACCGCAUAAGAGUAGAUGUUGCAUGACAUUUGCUUAAAAGGUGCAAUUGCAUCACUACCAGAUGGACCUGCGUUGUAUUAGCUAGUUGGUGGGGUAACGGCUCACCAAGGCGACGAUACAUAGCCGACCUGGGGGGGGGGUCCGCCACACUGGGACUGGGACACGGCCCAGACUCCUACGGGAGGCAGCAGUAGGGAAUCUUCGGCAAUGGACGGAAGUCUGACCGAGCAACGCCGCGUGAGUGAAGAAGGUUUUCGGAUCGUAAAGCUCUGUUGUAAGGGAAGAAAGAGUGUGAGAGUGGAAAGUUCACACUGUGACGGUAUCUUAACAGAAAGGGACGGCUAACUACGUG
Molecule: ribosomal RNA, 495 nt
Filed under: uncultured bacterium
Lineage: Bacteria
Description: partial 16S ribosomal RNA
Rfam family: Bacterial small subunit ribosomal RNA
Source: RNAcentral